RNAcentral lists this transfer RNA (74 nucleotides) under Gemmatimonadota bacterium. RNAcentral describes it as "tRNA-Arg". It matches the Rfam family "tRNA". Rfam says of the family: Transfer RNA (tRNA) molecules are approximately 80 nucleotides in length. Their secondary structure includes four short double-helical elements and three loops (D, anti-codon, and T loops). Lineage: Bacteria; Pseudomonadati; Gemmatimonadota. The record is from RNAcentral.
GGCCCCGUAGCUCAGUAGGAUAGAGCAACGCCCCGACGAAGCGUAGGUCCCCGGUUCGAGUCCGGGCGGGGCCG